This 2683-nucleotide long non-coding RNA is filed under the name Ricinus communis (castor bean). Its description in RNAcentral is "long non-coding RNA (RCOM_LNC003367)". The record is from RNAcentral. Lineage: Eukaryota; Viridiplantae; Streptophyta; Magnoliopsida; Malpighiales; Euphorbiaceae.
AAUCAAUGAGAUCAUUCUAUUGGUUGGUUAAAAAGUAAAGUUCUAUACGAUAUUAGAAUGCAAGAACUCCAGAAAGAAGACAUUAUAGGGCAGCUAAGAGAUAAAGAGAGGAUUCUUCCCUCAUAAUCAAUGCUUUUAUUUUAGAGCUAGUUCUCCUUUUGCAUUCCGUCCUAGUCAAUGAAGCUUUAAGUAAAUCAGGCUACUUAGUCAAAUCGAGAGGACUAGUCUCAUGACAGGACUUUACCAGUCAUCUCUUCUGUGACAGUCUUUUUGUUUGUGUACAAGGGGAGAGUGAAAGACUCGACAGAUGACUACAUAGUCCGGGCUAUCGCUACCCCCAUGGUGUCACCUAAACGCAGCAUCGAAAGCCACCUGAGAAGGGGUUUUCAUACAGUCAAUUCCACCGUGGGAUUCCCACCUUUUUAUUCCAACCAAUCCGCACAAGACUUGAUACGUGGACUAAUUGACAGUACCGAGUUCUCUACAUGCCUCAACUAGGGAACUCUGUGGUCCCAGCUCCUAUGAUUCCUUUCCUCGUCAAUUCAAACCUUUUGAUUUGACUCAACAUUUUUUGAACCUGAUGAGAAUUAUUUUAUUGAAAAAAAAAGUGGAGGAUUUGACUGUUAUGAUCUCUUGGCCCGUGCCUCUGUAGUGUAGUGUACGUUGUUUGCCUUAAACUUCCAUGAACAGGAUAAGACCUGAGAUUCCUUUCGUUUUUGGUUGGGUGGUACUCUUCCAUCUAUCAAUCUACUCUUUCUGUCCGCCCUCCCCUUUUCGGUGAAUGAACCUCUUGGGAAGGUGGCCCCAAGGCUCAUCCUUCUGCUUGCGGUUUGAGAGUGAAAAACAGAGUUGGGGAGACCAGUAAAGCUUUCUGAUAGCUUUCUAAAAUAUAUUAUUUUAAUAGAAGCUAAGCUUUUAUACCGAAUCGGGUUUGUUGAUGGAAUCAUAGCCGGGCCGGAACUCUUGAUCUAUCAAUAGAGGGUGAGAACUCAAUCAGGAAGGACUGCUAGUCAUCACCGAGGGUAUGACCAAUGAACUGCUGCUGAGAGCGAUAGACUGUCUGACUGAGAGAACAAAACCGCAUUGGAUGAGUUCUCGUCGCACCGGAUCUUCUUUCUAUGCAAUUUGACGAUCUGGCUUUGUCAAAGCGGGGGAAGACACAAGAUCUUGUUUUGUCUCAGCCGCUCUCCCCAGGGCCGAAUCAGUUUGAUAUCCACCUGCUGCCACUAUCUUAGAUACGUUAUCAGACGUUAGCUUUCCUUUGUCCCAGUAGCUUCAUGCCACUCAAGCACAGCGAGGGGAUCGGAGAGGAGCGUAGCCACUCGACCAGCCCUUGAACCUAGCCCUCGGAGCGAGAGGGCAAAGGCCUUGCAAACGGCUGUUGUGGCGCGCGAAACUGGCCGUUUUUCGCCUUUUUUUUUAGCUUGGCAGGAGCCUUGCCCCUUUACCUCGUAACCUCGGAAAAGGGGUUCCACCAUUACGAAAGGAAUGGAAUUAGCAAUAGACUGAAUUUCAGCAUACUCUGCUUUAGCUUUAGAUGCAUUCUUCUUCUUUCCGUCCCAUACCUUAUUUCCUUUAUUUGGUGAAGUCACAGCCAAUGCCGAAAGUCAUGGUGAGGAAGCCACAUCCAGCACAUAUAGCCCUCCCACCUCUUUACCGCGUCCAAUCGUCUUCCCGGUCCUGAACGACACAGCAAGAAGGCGAACUCUUUCUAGUUUGACUGACUAAUAGAGAGCUUUUUAAGCCCACGGAGCGGUAAUAUCAGAUGCAGCAAACCUGACUUCCAAAAGACUUCCUCUACUGCAAAAUCUUUCCUUUGGAAUUGAGAAGAGGUGCCUUAGCCUUAACCCGAAGGAGAGUUAAUAAAGUUUCUUCAGUAUUCCAUCUGUCUAUUAGUUCAAGCGGAAUCCAAGACGAAUCUCCACACCAAGACGAUUACGCGCAUCUGAGAAGGCAAGUCUAUUCACUUGUUUACUGUAGAGAGGUUAGCGCUAACUAGUGUUAGAGAGCUUGCUGGAUGAGAGCAGAUCUGGGAUAUCUGUAAUAUUACUAUUACUACUGGGAUAACUUUCAUCGUUCUAUCCAAGGACGGAGCUAGUAGUUGAAUAGGAUUCGUGUGUGGGAGUCUCAAUUCAUUCCCUCAUGCGCAUCUAGUGCAGUGUCUCUGUAACGUUCAUAAACCCCCUCCCCUUCGGACUCCUGUUUAGACAUCUAGCAGCCAAGCCAGAAAAACAGCUUUGAUAACUAAGAAAGCAGUCUACGGGAUCCUUUAGCAAGAAUAGCAAUUGGAUUGAGAUGGAUGGUUGUGCUUUCAGUCUUUUCCAUGCCGAAUGGACAACUGCCUCUUAUGAGUGAUUGCUCUACUGCCAAGGCAGUGAAGACUGAUGAAUCCCCUUAAAAGAUAUCUCCAUAGUAAAUAGAAUCGUACAUCCAAGAAGCAAGACUGACAGAGCGAGCUGUAAAUGCCAUACCAUUGAUUUCAAUGCUUAUGGCAACACGAUCAAUCAUUCGUCAGCGGGCAGCCAUUCAUUGCCAGAAAUUAGUUGAAUCCAAGAUUCAAUUCCUGUGUCUCUUCCAUCCCCUUUAUCCUAUGGGUCGAUCUAUUUAUUGAUAAUGUUGAAGAAUCGAUGAAACGACCUUUGUUCCUUCCCUUUUCUUUACAAACAGAGCGUAGUCGGCCUUC